RNAcentral lists this ribosomal RNA (513 nucleotides) under uncultured bacterium. Its description in RNAcentral is "partial 16S ribosomal RNA". It matches the Rfam family "Bacterial small subunit ribosomal RNA", at positions 28 to 523 of the family's 1533-position model. The record is from RNAcentral.
GAUGAACGCUGGCGGCGUGCCUAAUACAUGCAAGUCGAGCGAACAGACGAGGAGCUUGCUCCUCUGACGUUAGCGGUGGACGGGUGAGUAACACGUGGAUAACCUACCUAUAAGACUGGGAUAACUUCGGGAAACCGGAGCUAAUACCGGAUAACAUGUUGAACCGCAUGGUUCAACAGUGAAAGACGGUCUUGCUGUCACUUAUAGAUGGAUCCGCGCCGCAUUAGCUAGUUGGUAAGGUAACGGCUUACCAAGGCAACGAUGCGUAGCCGACCUGAGAGGGAGAUCGGCCACACUUGAACUGAGACGAGGUCCAGACUACUACGGGAGGCAGCAGUAGGGAAUCUUCCGCAAUGAGCGAAAGCCUGACGGAGCAACGCCGCGUGAGUGAAGAAGGUCUUCGGAUCGUAAAACUCUGUUAUUAGGGAAGAACAAAUGUGUAAGUAACUAUGCACGUCUUGACGGUACCUAAUCAGAAAGCCACGGCUAACUACGUGCCAGCCGCCGCCGUAA